AUAUAUAUACACACACAUGUACACCAGCAUGCAAAUUUUACUUAUUGAUUUACAUAGGAUCGUUGAAGAAAAGGAAGAACAAUGAUUAGUAAACAGAAGUUUAUUGUAGCAACCUUGAUUUUAGUUUUUCUAUUCUCAAUAGGUACGUAGAAAGUUUGCAUAAUAGAGUUCGAAUUUUUCAUAUAUUACUUUUUGUUAUACAUAUUGGUUAUCAUUACAUUAAUAUUACUCUUUUCAAUAGGUACGGACAGUUUAUUACUUCGCCGUAUGAAGUGUUUUUCUCAAUGUGACCAAACAACUGAUUGCAUGUCCUUCUGCACCAACAAGAGAUAUUAUAGAGGAUAUUGUGAACUAGAUGUUGAUAAUGUUAAUAGGUGUUGUUGUUACAAUUUUGAUGCUAAUAAACUUGUAACUUAAAGCUUUUCUUUUAGCUUGAAUAAAAUAUUAUGUUUUAUAAAUAUAAGUAAACUUUAUCAGAUGAAAUAAAACAUAGCAUAUUAUCAUAAAGUAUGAUUGAAAAAUUAG
This 525-nucleotide long non-coding RNA is filed under the name Cicer arietinum (chickpea). RNAcentral's name for it is "long non-coding RNA (CARI_LNC001423)". Lineage: Eukaryota; Viridiplantae; Streptophyta; Magnoliopsida; Fabales; Fabaceae. The record is from RNAcentral.